RNAcentral lists this ribosomal RNA (373 nucleotides) under uncultured Sphingobacteriales bacterium. RNAcentral's name for it is "bacterial SSU rRNA". It matches the Rfam family "Bacterial small subunit ribosomal RNA", at positions 1009 to 1382 of the family's 1533-position model. The record is from RNAcentral. Lineage: Bacteria; Pseudomonadati; Bacteroidota; Sphingobacteriia; Sphingobacteriales.
CUUACAUCUCUUCGGAGCAUUUACGAGGUGCUGCAUGGUUGUCGUCAGCUCGUGCCGUGAGGUGUCGGGUUAAGUCCCAUAACGAGCGCAACCCCUACCCUUUAGUUGCCAUCAGGUAAUGCUGGGGACUCUAAAGGAACUGCCUACGCAAGUAGUGAGGAAGGCGGGGAUGACGUCAAAUCAGCACGGCCCUUACGUCCAGGGCUACACACGUGCUACAAUGGCCGAUACAGAGGGCAGCUACCUGGUGACAGGAUGCAAAUCUCCAAAGUCGGUCUCAGUUCGGAUCGGAGUCUGCAACCCGACUCCGUGAAGUUGGAUUCGCUAGUAAUCGCGCAUCAGCCAUGGCGCGGUGAAUACGUUCCCGGGCCUU